Molecule: ribosomal RNA, 477 nt
Filed under: uncultured bacterium
Lineage: Bacteria
Description: bacterial SSU rRNA
Rfam family: Bacterial small subunit ribosomal RNA
Source: RNAcentral
GAUGAACGCUAGCGGCAGGCUUAACACAUGCAAGUCGAGGGCAGCGGGAGGUAGCAAUAUCUUGCCGGCGACCGGCGCAAGGGUGCGUAACGCGUGAGCAACAUGCCCGUCACAGGAGGAUAAACCAUGGAAACGUGGCCUAAUACCCCAUAGUAUAUUAAUAAGGCAUCUUAUUACUAUUAAAGCUACGGUGGUGACGGAUUGGCUCGCGUGACAUUAGCUAGAUGGAGAGGUAACGGCUCACCAUGGCGACGAUGUCUAGGGGAACUGAGAGGUUUAUCCCCCACACUGGUACUGAGACACGGACCAGACUCCUACGGGAGGCAGCAGUGAGGAAUAUUGGACAAUGGAUGGAAAUCUGAUCCAGCCAUGCCGCGUGCAGGAUGACGGCCCUAUGGGUCUUAAAACUUCUUUUUGAAAGGGGAGCAAUAAGCGCCACGUGUGGCGUGAUGAGAGUACCUUACGAAUAAGCAUCGG